This 465-nucleotide ribosomal RNA is filed under the name uncultured bacterium. RNAcentral describes it as "partial 16S ribosomal RNA". It matches the Rfam family "Bacterial small subunit ribosomal RNA", at positions 28 to 507 of the family's 1533-position model. The record is from RNAcentral.
GAUGAACGCUGGCGGCGUGCUUAACACAUGCAAGUCGAACGGAAAGGCUCCUGCUUGCAGGGGUACUCGAGUGGCGAACGGGUGAGUAACACGUGGGUGAUCUGCCCUGCACUUCGGGAUAAGCCUGGGAAACUGGGUCUAAUACCGGAUAGGACGAUGGUUUGGAUGCGAUUGUGGAAAGUUUUUCGGUGUGGGAUGAGCUCGCGGCCUAUCAGCUGGUUGGUGGGGUAAUGGCCUACCAAGGCGUCGACGGGUAGCCGGCCUGAGAGGGUGUACGGCCACAUUGGGACUGAGAUACGGCCCAGACUCCUACGGGAGGCAGCAGUGGGGAAUAUUGCACAAUGGGCGCAAGCCUGAUGCAGCGACGCCGCGUGGGGGAUGACGGCCUUCGGGUUGUAAACUCCUUUCGCUAGGGACGAAGCGCAAGUGACGGUACCUGGAGAAGAAGCACCGGCUAACUACGUG